Molecule: unclassified non-coding RNA, 353 nt
Filed under: Hevea brasiliensis (rubber tree)
Lineage: Eukaryota; Viridiplantae; Streptophyta; Magnoliopsida; Malpighiales; Euphorbiaceae
Source: RNAcentral
AUUGAUAUUCAAUAUCUGGAUUUGGGAAGUGGGAGAGGGAGAAUUAAGGUUAUCAGAGAGGGAGGCCAUGGCACACAUUAGCGCGAGGAUGGUGACGGAGAAAGUUAGCAAAGCAUUAGCUCUGUACCCAAAGGAAUGCAUGAUUGCUACUUCGAUGUCGUAUUGGCGAAUAAAAAACCAGUUGCUAGCUCGCCAAAGCUAGUGGUGAUUUAUCGGAAAAGUACUUGUGUAUCUUGCCGUGUCGUCGUUGUUCUCGUCAGUGUUGACGUUUCCGGUCCGAGAAGAGAGAACGGGGCGUUUUGUUUUGGGGUUUUGAGGAGCGCAUAUUGGCGAAUAAAAAACCAGUUGCUAGC